Molecule: ribosomal RNA, 686 nt
Filed under: uncultured ciliate
Lineage: Eukaryota; Ciliophora
Description: SSU rRNA
Rfam family: Eukaryotic small subunit ribosomal RNA
Source: RNAcentral
CUUGAUGGUAGUGUAUUGGACUACCAUGGCGUUUACGGGUAACGGAGGAUUAGGGUUCGAUUCCGGAGAGGGAGCCUGAGAAACGGCUACCACAUCUAAGGAAGGCAGCAGGCGCGUAAAUUACCCAAUCCUGACUCAGGGAGGUAGUGACAAGAAAUAACGGACCGUUAGCCYUMGGGCGGCGGGACUGCAAUGAGCCGAAUUUACACCCCUUAGCGAGGACCAAUUGGAGGGCAAGUCUGGUGCCAGCAGCCGCGGUAAUUCCAGCUCCAAUAGCGUAUAUUAAAGUUGUUGCAGUUAAAAAGCUCGUAGUUGGAUUUCUGCCAGGGUGCCAAUGUCCGCCGAAGUGCGUGCGCAGCGGCGCCCUCGCAUCCUUCUGUUAACGCCUCUCGGCAUUCACUUGCCGGUGGUGGGCUCAGAUAAUUUACCUUGAGAAAAUUAGAGUGUUUCAGGCAGGCUAGGCCGGAAUACAUUAGCAUGGAAUAAUGGAAUAGGACUACGGUCUCGUUGUUGGUUUGAGGGACUGSAGUAAUGAUUAAUAGGGAUAGUUGGGGGCAUUAGUAUUUAAUUGUCAGAGGUGAAAUUCUCAGAUUUGUUAAAGACUAACUUAUGCGAAAGCAUUUGCCAAGGAUGUUUUCAUUAAUCAAGAACGAAAGUUAGGGGAUCAAAGACGAUCAGAUACCGUC